Molecule: ribosomal RNA, 253 nt
Filed under: uncultured bacterium
Lineage: Bacteria
Description: partial 16S ribosomal RNA
Rfam family: Bacterial small subunit ribosomal RNA
Source: RNAcentral
UACAGAGGGUGCGAACGUUGCUCGGAAUUACUGGGCGUAAAGCGCGUGUAGGCGGAGCGAUAAGUCGGAAGUGAAAUCCCCGGGCUCAACCCGGGAACUGCUUUCGAAACUGCCGUUCUCGAGUACCGGAGAGGGUGGCGGAAUUCCUGGUGUAGAGGUGAAAUUCGUAGAUAUCAGGAGGAACACCGGUGGCGAAGGCGGCCACCUGGACGGUUACUGACGCUGAGACGCGAAAGCGUGGGGAGCAAACAGG